Molecule: ribosomal RNA, 350 nt
Filed under: uncultured Pseudomonas sp.
Lineage: Bacteria; Pseudomonadati; Pseudomonadota; Gammaproteobacteria; Pseudomonadales; Pseudomonadaceae
Description: bacterial SSU rRNA
Rfam family: Bacterial small subunit ribosomal RNA
Source: RNAcentral
CACAGGUGCUGCAUGGCUGUCGUCAGCUCCGUGUCGUGAGAUGUUGGGUUAAGUCCCGUAACGAGCGCAACCCUGUCCUUAGUUACCAGCACGUUAUGGUGGGCACUCUAAGGAGACUGCCGGUGACAAACCGGAGGAAGGUGGGGAUGACGUCAAGUCAUCAUGGCCCUUACGGCCUGGGCUACACACGUGCUACAAUGGUCGGUACAAAGGGUUGCCAAGCCGCGAGGUGGAGCUAAUCCCAUAAAACCGAUCGUAGUCCGGAUCGCAGUCUGCAACUCGACUGCGUGAAGUCGGAAUCGCUAGUAAUCGUGAAUCAGAAUGUCACGGUGAAUACGUUCCCGGGCCUU